UACGUAGGGCGCAAGCGUUAUCCGGAAUUAUUGGGCGUAAAGAGCUCGUAGGCGGUUUGUCGCGUCUGCCGUGAAAGUCCGGGGCUCAACUCCGGAUCUGCGGUGGGUACGGGCAGACUAGAGUGAUGUAGGGGAGACUGGAAUUCCUGGUGUAGCGGUGAAAUGCGCAGAUAUCAGGAGGAACACCGGUGGCGAAGGCGGAUCUCUGGGCCUUACCUGACGCUGAGGCGCGAAAGCUAGGGGAGCGAACGGG
This 253-nucleotide ribosomal RNA is filed under the name uncultured bacterium. RNAcentral describes it as "partial 16S ribosomal RNA". It matches the Rfam family "Bacterial small subunit ribosomal RNA", at positions 524 to 776 of the family's 1533-position model. The record is from RNAcentral.